RNAcentral lists this ribosomal RNA (290 nucleotides) under Bacillus paralicheniformis. Its description in RNAcentral is "partial 16S ribosomal RNA". It matches the Rfam family "Bacterial small subunit ribosomal RNA", at positions 71 to 352 of the family's 1533-position model. The record is from RNAcentral. Lineage: Bacteria; Bacillati; Bacillota; Bacilli; Caryophanales; Bacillaceae.
GAUGGGAGCUUGCUCCCUGAUGUCAGCGGCGGACGGGUGAGUAACACGUGGGUAACCUGCCUGUAAGACUGGGAUAACUCCGGGAAACCGGGGCUAAUACCGGAUGCUUGAUUGAACCGCAUGGUUCAAUUAUAAAAGGUGGCUUUUAGCUACCACUUACAGAUGGACCCGCGGCGCAUUAGCUAGUUGGUGAGGUAACGGCUCACCAAGGCAACGAUGCGUAGCCGACCUGAGAGGGUGAUCGGCCACACUGGGACUGAGACACGGCCCAGACUCCUACGGGAGGCAGC